This 255-nucleotide ribosomal RNA is filed under the name uncultured bacterium. RNAcentral describes it as "partial 16S ribosomal RNA". It matches the Rfam family "Bacterial small subunit ribosomal RNA", at positions 524 to 776 of the family's 1533-position model. The record is from RNAcentral.
UACGAAGGGGGGCUAGCGUUGCUCGGAAUCACUGGGCGUAAAGGGUGCGUAGGCGGGUCUUUAAGUCAGGGGUGAAAUCCUGGAGCUCAACUCCAGAACUGCCUUUGAUACUGAAGAUCUUGAGUUCGGGAGAGGUGAGUGGAACUGCGAGUGUAGAGGUGAAAUUCGUAGAUAUUCGCAAGAACACCAGUGGCGAAGGCGGCUCACUGGCCCGAUACUGACGCUGAGGCACGAAAGCGUGGGGGAGCAAACAGG